CGGAUGUAGCCAAGUGGAUUAAGGCAGUGG
Molecule: transfer RNA, 30 nt
Filed under: Phylica humilis
Lineage: Eukaryota; Viridiplantae; Streptophyta; Magnoliopsida; Rosales; Rhamnaceae
Description: partial tRNA-His
Source: RNAcentral